AAUCCUAAUGUGGCAAAUAUUAUAUUACUGUAUUGAAAAUUGAGCGGUAUAUUGACAUGAAAUUGUCGAAUCCGCGAGUCAAAAAUAAGUCCUAUUAAAUAAGGAGAUGAAAUAAUAUUUAGUAAUAAACCAAUAGCAGGAGGGGUGCAAGCAAAGCACAGGAGGGUGAUGGUACCCAAACCAUUAAUUGGGUCAGGCCCAAAACACAUUCCAAUUACCAAAACUCACUUAACUAUACUAAUCAUAUAGUUAAUCCCUAUUAACAAAUGCAUAAAGAAGAAAAAAAAAACAAGUUUAGCACAAGAUUUUCUCAAACAAUCAGAAGAGGCAAGGAGUUUUUAAAGUUGGAUCACCUAAUCCAUCGCUUCAGUACCUACACAUCCCCAGCAGCACAAAUCACUCAAUGGAUCGCUUCAAAACCCACUUCUAAAUCACGUUGUUCGCAACUUUCACACUUAUGUUAACUUCCCCUGCAUCGUCCAUGUCAUGAUCGUCUCUGCCUUCAUGAUGAUGCAUCGUCGGCCACGGAACUCAGCGCAAAGAUGGUGAUGAUGAAGUUUGAAAACUUGUACUGUAUAGCUACUGGUGAUGGUUGAGUUGCAACAUUUGUUGACAGGGAUGAUUCGGUUUAAAUAUGGGGAGGUUAUGUACCAAAAAAACUUAUUCAAGCAUUAUAAUAAGUCGGGUUUGCUGGCGGUUGUAGCUGUUGGGGAUGGAAGGAGAUUUUCGGUGAGGGUUUUGUGGUGGUAGAUCGGAGAGAAAAAGGGUCGUGAUUGGGGUUUCGGUGAUGAGUGGAUGAAGAAUUGAGGGUCAAGGAAGGAUGGGUGUGUAGUUAGCGGUGGUGGAGGGUUGAUUUAGGUGAAGAAGAUGAAGGUGUGAGGUGAGGUAGGGUUAAUGGAGACGGAGGAGGCGGAUGUAGGAGGGUUAGGGUUGAAGUGGGAUUUCGGCAGGGUAACAGUAUCUUUCUUCCCCUCCUUUUCAAUCGAUUUGAUCCCCCUUUUAUAGAGUGAAGUGAGUGGCAAAAUCCAUGAGCUGUCAAGAGAUCAUGAGAAUCAUUCCGUUGGAAGGAAAAUUCUCUUUAGAUUUUGUGGUCCCUGAAUGAGGUGCAUCCCAAUUCAAUGGUUGGCUCAAGGCAAAGCAGUGAGAUUUAGCAGGUUUUGUGUGAGGAUGCCAUCGUUUAUCAUUUUGUACUGUCGUUUGCAACUUGGAAUGAAUGUGCUUUGCAUGGUUGAGUGGAUUAAAUUGAAGUUAGGAGUUGAUAUCUGUUUCAGGGCUAUUUACAGGUCCAAAGUUUGGAAUUGUUUUAACCAUGCUACCGAUCAUGACUCAAAAAGGCAUUCGGCGUGUUUGUGGUAUGCAGGUACAAGGAUAAUUUAGAAAACCAUUUUCUCACUUGGAAGUAGCAUUAGAUCAAACACGUACCAUAGCCGUCGACGCACAUUAUCAAGCUUGGAGAUCAUUUCUUGUAAUACGAUCGGUCUGUUUGUGUAUAGGGCUUAAGUGUGGUUUGUGUUUUGGUGAGGUUGGGACGUCAUGUCGGUUUGGUUAUGCAAUUAGAGAAAUGGUUCUAUAGGUGUUGUAUCGUGAGUAUGCAUGGUUCUUGAUACUAACCAAAUGGCCCUGCAAUGGAUUUCUAUCCUGCCAUGCGUUCGGUUAUUCGCGGCUGCCACUUUAGAGUUUUUUGAAGGAGUGUUGAUGCAUCAACGGCAAUGUUGGUUAACAUGGUAGUUAGCUCAAGUUAAAGACACAGUUGCAGGUUAUAAGUCGGUUGUGAUUUACCCUUUCAGAACAAUCGGUAAGGUUGUACAUACCACAGGUUCUUUUAAAACUUGUAGCUUUCCAUAUGCUUAUGUGCCCUUUUAUCCUUACGCACCUGUAUUCACACUCACAUUGUCGGCAUGGCGCUGCUAGCUCUUGGAUCUAUAGGUCACCGCAUGACACGGGAGCGAAUCUGUCAUAACGUCCUUGGAAACCAAUGUAAUGAGGAACCUGAGAAACUGUCACGGCCAACUGAUGGAUUAUUUUAGCUUUAGAAUCUUAUUUCUUUCCUUUGUCUGGGUUGUAACAUUAGCGCAUCACGGUUUGAAACGCAUAUGUGUCGGUCGAUCUUGAAACAACUGAUUUGUAUGCCGUAGUGUUAGUUUGAAAAAAUGAAAAAAUGUAAUUUUAAUGUGUGAACAUGUUUUGCCAAUAUACUGCACUUGCAGUUUCAAACAUAAACCAUGCAGUUUCAAACAUAAA
This is a long non-coding RNA of Lathyrus oleraceus (garden pea), 2241 nucleotides long. RefSeq lists it as uncharacterized. The transcript is spliced from 6 exons. The record is from RefSeq and is a predicted model, not a curated record. Lineage: Eukaryota; Viridiplantae; Streptophyta; Magnoliopsida; Fabales; Fabaceae.